CCUCUUUAAGUUUUUAUUUGCUCAAAUGUCUACCAAUCCUUACUAUCACCAAUUGUGACCAAACAAGCAGAUUAUCACAAAUGGAUCAAAAAUGAGAUUUCAAUGCUAAAUUUGUAUUUUUAUAACAAACCUCAAAUUAAAACAAUCCUAACUACCAAUAUUGAACCACCAAGAACACUAAACAGGAUUGAACAUGAUAUCUUAAUACAACUAAAAUUAAACUCAGGAAAACUAACCUAAUUGGAAUUCUGUGAUCUAACCCUAAUCUUGAAC
This 273-nucleotide long non-coding RNA is filed under the name Nicotiana benthamiana. RNAcentral describes it as "long non-coding RNA (NBEN_LNC008048)". The record is from RNAcentral. Lineage: Eukaryota; Viridiplantae; Streptophyta; Magnoliopsida; Solanales; Solanaceae.